UCGAUUGAGUUUGAUCAUGGCUCAGGACGAACGCUGGCGGCGCGCUUAACACAUGCAAGUCGAGCGAGAACCACUCCUUCGGGAGUGGGGAAAGCGGCGAACGGGUGAGUAACACGUAGGUAAUCUGCCCUCGGUAUCGGGAUAGCCCGGGGAAACCCGGAUUAAUACCGGAUAGCCUCUAGAGCUUUCGGGCUCGUGAGAAAAGAGAGCUUCGGCCUUCGACCGAGGAGGAGCCUGCGGCGGAUUAGCUUGUUGGUGGGGUAAUGGCCUACCAAGGCGACGAUCCGUAGCUGGUCUGAGAGGACGAACAGCCACACUGGGACUGAGACACGGCCCAGACUCCUACGGGAGGCAGCAGUGGGGAAUCUUGCGUAAUGGGCGAAAGCCUGACGCAGCGACGCCGCGUGAGGGAAGAAGGCCUUCGGGUUGUAAACCUCUUUCAGGAGGGACGAAGCCACUCGGGUGAAUAGCCCAGAGGGUGACGGUACCUCCAGAAGAAGCCCCGGCUAACUACGUGCCAGCAGCCGCGGUAAUACGUAGGGGCAAGCGUUGUCUGGAUUUAUUGGGCGUAAAGAGCGUGUAGGCGGCCUGUUAGGUCGGUUGUGAAAACUCGAGGCUCAACCUCGAGACGUCGACCGAAACCAACAGGCUAGAGUCCGGAAGAGGAGAGUGGAAUUCCUGGUGUAGCGGUGAAAUGCGCAGAUAUCAGGAAGAACACCCGUUGCGAAGG
This 730-nucleotide ribosomal RNA is filed under the name uncultured bacterium. RNAcentral describes it as "bacterial SSU rRNA". It matches the Rfam family "Bacterial small subunit ribosomal RNA", at positions 1 to 721 of the family's 1533-position model. The record is from RNAcentral.